Molecule: ribosomal RNA, 274 nt
Filed under: uncultured bacterium
Lineage: Bacteria
Description: partial 16S ribosomal RNA
Rfam family: Bacterial small subunit ribosomal RNA
Source: RNAcentral
AUACGGAGGGUGCAAGCGUUACUCGGAAUCACUGGGCGUAAAGCGCGCGCAGGCGGCUAAUUAAGUUGGAUGUGAAAGCCUACGGCUCAACCGUAGAACUGCAUCCAAAACUAUUUAGCUAGAGUGUGGGAGAGGAAGAUGGAAUUAGUUGUGUAGGGGUAAAAUCCGUAGAGAUAACUAGGAAUACCAAAAGCGAAGGCAAUCUUCUGGAACACUACUGACGCUGAGGCGCGAAAGCGUGGGGAGCAAACAGGAUUAGAAACCCCAGUAGUCC